Molecule: non-coding RNA, 506 nt
Organism: Gymnodraco acuticeps
Lineage: Eukaryota; Metazoa; Chordata; Actinopteri; Perciformes; Bathydraconidae
Source: the annotation of a RefSeq genome assembly
GGUGGGUUUACCUCUCUCACAUUCACACAUCGUAUACUUUUGUUUUAAGUUCUUAUAACACGUCACCCUCCAUGUGCUGCAGGUCUCACUGCGGUGGUCCUUCAGUCUGGAGAUCAGAUGUCCCAGCCUGGGUCGAAUGUGACCUUUGAGUGCAGGAUGGGUGGUGGGGGUAUGAGCAGCUACACCAUGCUCUGGUACCGGCAGGACCGCCCUGGAGCUGCAGUGCAGUUCCUCACUAAAGAGUACGACCAGGCUGCAGGGAACAAAGUGUCCUCUAUCGAUCCGUCCAAAAACACCUUCUCUCUGCACAUCAGUGAGCUGCAACUGAGCGACAGCAGCACUUACUACUGUGCUGCCAAACACAGUGCUGCACUCAGAGCAGAAACUCGUACAGAUAACAGGCCGCUGCAGCUGGAGUUGGGCUUAUCUGGUUUUGUACUGAAAUGGUACCAAAAAAAUGAAGACAUUAUUCAGAUCUGAAAGUAGGGUAAGACACACGAUGGUAC